Molecule: ribosomal RNA, 245 nt
Filed under: uncultured Eubacteriales bacterium
Lineage: Bacteria; Bacillati; Bacillota; Clostridia; Eubacteriales
Description: uncultured Clostridiales bacterium partial 16S ribosomal RNA
Rfam family: Bacterial small subunit ribosomal RNA
Source: RNAcentral
UACGUAGGGUGCAAGCGUUCUCCGGAUUUACUGGGUGUAAAGGGCGAGUAGACGGCAUAGCAAGUCAGAUGUGAAAUUUCAGUGCUCAACAUUGAAACUGCAUCUGAAACUGUUAAGCUAGAGUGCAGGAGAGGAAAACGGAAUUCCUAGUGUAGCGGUGAAAUGCGUAGAUAUUAGGAGGAACACCAGUGGCGAAGGCGGUUUUCUGGACUGUAACUGACGUUGAGGAGCGAAAGUGUGGGGAG